This 324-nucleotide ribosomal RNA is filed under the name uncultured bacterium. Its description in RNAcentral is "bacterial SSU rRNA". It matches the Rfam family "Bacterial small subunit ribosomal RNA", at positions 30 to 355 of the family's 1533-position model. The record is from RNAcentral.
AUUGAACACUGGCGGCAUGCCUUACACAUGCAAGUCGAACGCGAAAGGGGGCAACCCUGAGUAGAGUGGCGAACGGGUGAGUAAUGUAUCGGAACGUACCCAGUAGUGGGGGAUAGCCCGGCGAAAGCCGGAUUAAUACCGCAUACGACCUACGGGUGAAAGCGGGGGGAUCGCAAGACCUCGCGCUAUUGGAGCGGCCGAUAUCGGAUUAGCUAGGUUGGUGGGGGUAAAAAGCCUACCAAGGCUACGAUCCGUAGCAGGUUUGAGAGAACGACCUGCCACACUGGACUGAGACACGGCCCAGACUCCUACGGAGGCAGCAGU